This 292-nucleotide ribosomal RNA is filed under the name uncultured bacterium. RNAcentral describes it as "partial 16S ribosomal RNA". It matches the Rfam family "Archaeal small subunit ribosomal RNA", at positions 455 to 747 of the family's 1478-position model. The record is from RNAcentral.
GUGCAGCCGCCGCGGUAAUACCGGCAGCUCAAGUGAUGUCCCAUAUUAUUGGGCCUAAAGCGUCCGUAGCUGGCCGACCAAGUCUCCCGGGAAAUCCACCCGCCCAACGGGUGGGCGUCCGGUAGAAACUGGCCGGCUUGGAACCGGAAGGCUCAGAGAGUACGUCCGGGGUAGGAGUGAAAUCCCAUAAUCCCGCACGGACCACCGAUGGCGAAAGCACUUCGAGAAAACGGAUCCGACAGUGAGGGACGAAAGCUCGGGUCUCAAACCGGAUUAGAUACCCCUGUAGUCC